GGGUUACUGGUUGAAGCAAGCCUCUAUGUCUCCGUAUGCAGGAUCUAUGUAUCACGGUUCUCCAUUGUUACACUCGGUACUUGGGCCACUCACUGUUAAAAGAAUUGAAGGGCACCCGGAUCAUGUGUUUUGCAGGCUUAUGAAGUGCAAUAUUGAUGUUGCCUCCAGAUAUACUUGCUUCAGGAGAUUUUGCUGCUCUUGUGUACUUUUGGAAUCCAUUCACAAUAGUUGCGUGUGUGGGUUUAUCAACAUCCCCAAUGGAAAAUUUGUUCAUCAUACUGACAGUUUAUGGGGCCUGUACACGAGUAG
Molecule: unclassified non-coding RNA, 309 nt
Filed under: Hevea brasiliensis (rubber tree)
Lineage: Eukaryota; Viridiplantae; Streptophyta; Magnoliopsida; Malpighiales; Euphorbiaceae
Source: RNAcentral